AGUAUGUAAUAGUAUAGUCGGCCGUAUUGUGUUAGCCGUGUUGUGUGUAACCCUGCGAAAUGCAGAAAUAGCCUCGAGGCCCGGCCGUUUACAGAACUCGAAAAUAAAUAUUAUUUUCAUUGCAAUAAUCGUAUAUCAUAUAAAAGGCCAAAUCCGUUUAUCUGUCUGUAACAAUUUUCUCUUAUACUCAGAACGAAAGUUGUGGCAUUCGGGUCGAAAUUUGAGUUCAAACACAAUACACAAAUAACAUAAUUUAAAAUGGAGAUAAUAUUUCCGAGUGCUGUUGGUAGCUUUUGUCUAAGUGUCUUAAUUUUAAAAUUACGACUAUGUUAGUUUUAGCAUUUUUUUUUUCAAAUAGCUUUAAUGUCGAAGGGCAGAACAUUACCUAGAUCUGUAUUUAAACGUUGGAUUUUUGUCGAUACUUAAACUUUCAAUCGAGAUAUAUCGAGUGUGUGAAAUAUCACAAUUUAAAAACUAAAAUAUCA
Non-coding RNA from Cinara cedri, 485 nucleotides. NCBI's taxonomy places the organism in Eukaryota, Metazoa, Arthropoda, Insecta, Hemiptera, Aphididae. The record is from the annotation of a GenBank genome assembly.